This 24-nucleotide non-coding RNA is filed under the name Arabidopsis thaliana (thale cress). Lineage: Eukaryota; Viridiplantae; Streptophyta; Magnoliopsida; Brassicales; Brassicaceae. The record is from RNAcentral.
CUUAGCUUGUUUUCCUUCUUGAUG